UACCAGCACCCCGAGUGGUCGGGACGUUAUUGGGCCUAAAGCAUCCGUAGCCGGUUCUACAAGUCUUCCGUUAAAUCCAGCUGCUUAACAGAUGGGCUGCGGAAGAUACUAUGGAGCUAGGAGGCGGGAGAGGCAAGCGGUACUCGAUGGGUAGGGGUAAAAUCCGUUGAUCCAUUGAAGACCACCAGUGGCGAAGGCGGCUUGCCAGAACGCGCUCGACGGUGAGGGAUGAAAGCUGGGGGAGCAAACAGG
RNAcentral lists this ribosomal RNA (252 nucleotides) under uncultured bacterium. Its description in RNAcentral is "partial 16S ribosomal RNA". It matches the Rfam family "Archaeal small subunit ribosomal RNA", at positions 474 to 727 of the family's 1478-position model. The record is from RNAcentral.